GGAAGUUUGGGUGAGGGGCUGAAACCUCCAGUUUGCUAAACUGACGUACUCGCAAGGGUACCGGGGGUUCGAAUCCCCCAGCUUCCG
This 87-nucleotide transfer RNA is filed under the name Bacteroides caccae. Its description in RNAcentral is "tRNA-Ser". It matches the Rfam family "tRNA". From Rfam's summary of the family: Transfer RNA (tRNA) molecules are approximately 80 nucleotides in length. Their secondary structure includes four short double-helical elements and three loops (D, anti-codon, and T loops). Lineage: Bacteria; Pseudomonadati; Bacteroidota; Bacteroidia; Bacteroidales; Bacteroidaceae. The record is from RNAcentral.